UCGAGGAUCUUUAGCAAUGCCCGAAAGGGUGACUAUGCGACGCCGCGUGUGGGAUGAAGGCCUUCGGGUCGUAAACCACUGUCAGGGAGGAAGAAACCUUACGUGUUAACAGCGCGUAAGCUGACAUCACUCCCAAAGGAAGCCACGGCUAACUCUGUGCCAGCAGCCGCGGUAAGACAGAGGUGACAAGCGUUGUUCGGAUUUAUUGGGUGUAAAGGGUCCGUAGGUGGCCUAACAAGUCUGAUGUGAAAUCCCAUGGCUCAACCGUGGAACUGCAUUGGAAACUGUUGGGCUUGAGUACCGCAGAGGUAAAGGGAAUUCCCGGUGUAAGGGUGAAAUCUGUAGAUAUCGGGAGGAACACCAGUGGCGAAGGCGCUUUACUGGGCGGUUACUGACACUGAGGGACGAAAGCAAGGGGAGCAAACAGGAUUAGAUACCCCAGUAGUCCCUGAGCGGGCUGGCAAGGCGCAU
Molecule: ribosomal RNA, 471 nt
Filed under: uncultured bacterium
Lineage: Bacteria
Description: bacterial SSU rRNA
Rfam family: Bacterial small subunit ribosomal RNA
Source: RNAcentral